Molecule: transfer RNA, 72 nt
Filed under: Pangasius djambal
Lineage: Eukaryota; Metazoa; Chordata; Actinopteri; Siluriformes; Pangasiidae
Description: tRNA-Glu
Source: RNAcentral
UCCCUGGAGGACUAGUGGUUAGGCCACAUCACUCUCACUGCUGCAGCCGGGGUUCGAUUCCUGGACAGGGAA